CCUGUGGCUCCUGUAGCAAGCUGGAGGAGCAGGCUUACUGCAAAGAUGGUUGGAGAGAAGAGAUUGCACCUUGCCUGGGAAUAGCACCUUUCAUUUCUCCUUUCCUCAUUCUGCCAGAGGCACAGCUCCCGCUUGCUGCAGGCGAGAAGCUGAAGGAAGGUGGAAUUUGCCGAGCAGACUCUGGGCAAAGCUUGCACCCUGAGGUGGGAGCUGCUCCUGCAUCCCACAGCAGUGCUGCAGGAAGCAUCCCAUGGUGGGAGGAAUGAGGAGAGCAUCACCCCCGGCUGCAGGGUGGCCCCUGGCCUUCACAGUAUUUUCCCAUCAGAGCACCAUCCAGUAACAUCUCACCACAAAGAGGGGCAGAGCUGCCUCCUGCCUAGAAGCAGAAGCAUUCUGAUUUUCUCACCGUGUCUCAGCACUGGCUGUUUACAGCGUGUGCUACUUGCUUGCAGAGGGCUUGUGGGGCUGCGCUCCCAUGGAAGAAGACCCACAGAUGAAAGCAAAUCCUUUCUUAUGGCGUAAUGGCUGGUGGUGAUGAGAAGCCGUUCUCAGGUUUUGGACUGGAACCACUACAGAAAUAAAGAAGUCCAUACACAGAUUAAUGUCUUUUGAAAAAAAAUAUUUUUUUCCGUAGAUUGCACAUUCAAAACUUGAGCUGCACACUGCACAGUAUAGAAACAGCAGUUAGCCAAUCCAAUUACCACCAUGUAGAUGGGUUUUGAUUAGUUCGGCUGUAGCCCCAAGGUGUCAAACUCAUUUGGAAGCAUAGACCCGAGGUGUAAUUACAGUCAGUGGCCAAGGCGUCUCUCCUGGGCUGUAAAAAUGUUCUCAGUCUGCCCUGGAAAUACCACGUCAGAGGGCAGAAUGCAGUGGACUUUCAGGGAAAAAUACUGUUUUACUGUUCCAGUUAGUGGCCGUGGCUGCUCAUUUGCUCAUCAAAUUAUGCAUUAGAUUUACAUUACGCCUUCUUUACAGUUCCCAGCUCUUCCCCUUAGCUUUCUGCUGAAUGGAUCAAGCAGUGAACUUCAAGCACAAUGCAAUGAAGCAGGGAGCACAGGCCUUUGCAUCAGCGCUGGCAGGCUUUCUCUGCAGCCCUGAAGGCUACAAACAAAAUGAAAUCUUGGCUACACAGAAGUUAGUGCAAGUUUUAUCCCAACUCCAAUGCUGCCAGGGAGAGGGAGAGAUUUUAUGCAGGAUGUAGUUGGACCACUGGGCAUCUCUUUUCCAGGUCUUUGAUGCUACAAGGGCAUAGGUGGAGCACUGCAGUACAAACAACACAUGCACACAACUGUAUUUUCAUAAAGGACCCUGUCUGGUGUUACCGUAGGACAGCAGGACUGCUUCCACUGUUCAAACUGACUGUAGUUUUGAGGACGAGGGUGCAGUGACAGGCUCCUAGCUGGAAAGAGUAAUGCUGCUGUCCUUCCCAGAGUUGUGCAUGUUUUUAAGUUUUGUUGUUAAUUGGUGCUUUUUGCCAACAGGCAUACUUUAAUAACAGCUCAAACAAACAAAUAAAUAAAUAAAACAGUAUCUUGUGCUUUGUUAGCAUCUUUCGUCCAGAGUCUUAGAAGCGUUUUGCCAAGCCAAGUGUUACUAUUUCCUGCGAGUCAUAGCAGUCCCCAGAGCCUGACUCUGCUUCCUUUUAUAUCAAUAGGAGCAGGGCCAGCCCUCAAGGACUUGCCUGGUGUAACACAGUGAGCCGACGACAGACUGAGCAAACAUAACUCAGGUGCCCUAAUUCCUACUUUUCAUGCUGCCUGCCCUCAACAGCACCAGUUGCUCUGUGAUUCAAAGAGAGCAAGUUCCAUCAAAAUGAAAGAGAUCCCUACUUGCUUCAUUCCCAUUGCUGCUUUUAUGAUGUCUCCAUCCUUGCAGGGCACCAGGGUGUGCUUGGUUUACUGCUGUUGUUGCUGGUCAUUUAACACCUUAAAGCCUUCUGAGAGGUAAGUGAUCUAUGCAUGCAGAACCGCAUGCCUGCGUCAUAUGUCAACCUUCUUCGGGUUUUCUCAUCCCCUGCGUUGUAUGUCAGAGACAUCUGCAAGUAAAUGAGAACCUGGCUCUUCGUGCUGCUUCUCCCCUUUGCCCUGGGUUUGAUACCGUCACUACAACAACCCAGCACGGUGUCACGGAUGGUGGAGCACAGCGCUGGCGGUGCCCAGGGCCAGAAAAAAAGCAGCAGAAAGUGCCUGGUUUGGAUGUGUGCUUGUAACUGCAACCCAGCAGAGUGAAGGUGGAAAACUGGAACAGAACACUGACUUGAACGCUGUCCAUGGGGCGUAGGUAGGCUUUUCACAUUUCCAGUACAUUAAUGUCAGAAGGACUCCUUUCCCUAUAAAUGGGAUUGAGUUACAGUUGUAAAAAUACCAUGAUCCUCAUCUAAGAGGAUCCGUAACGUACA
Molecule: long non-coding RNA, 2398 nt
Organism: Anas platyrhynchos (mallard)
Lineage: Eukaryota; Metazoa; Chordata; Aves; Anseriformes; Anatidae
Source: RefSeq, a predicted model, not a curated record